This 421-nucleotide ribosomal RNA is filed under the name Semirhynchia sp. n. SMC02. Its description in RNAcentral is "partial 16S ribosomal RNA". It matches the Rfam family "Archaeal large subunit ribosomal RNA", at positions 1908 to 2570 of the family's 2987-position model. The record is from RNAcentral. Lineage: Eukaryota; Metazoa; Arthropoda; Insecta; Neuroptera; Nemopteridae.
CAUGUCUUUUUGAUUAUAAUAUAAAGUCUAAUCUGCCCACUGAAAUUUUUGAAGGGCCGCAGUAAUUUGACUGUGCAAAGGUAGCAUAAUCAUUUGUCUUUUAAAUGAAGGCUUGUAUGAAUGAUUGGACGAGGUAUAAACUGUCUCAUUAUUAAAAUUAUAAAAAUUUAACUUUUUAGUUAAAAGGCUAAAAUGGUUUUGAAGGACGAGAAGACCCUAUAGAGCUUUAUAUUAAUUAGUAUUAACAAUUAUAGGAAUAUAAGUUUGUUAAUAUUUAAUAUAGUAUUUUGUUGGGGUGACAAGAAAAUUAAAUAAACUUUUUCUAAUUAUUGAACAUAGAUUAGUGAAUUUAUGAUCCAUUAGUAUUGAUUAUAAGACUAAGUUACCUUAGGGAUAACAGCGUAAUUUUGUUGGAGAGUUC